AAAGUGAUUUUCCUAAGGAGGAUCCAUUGAUGUUGACCAAUUUAUUAAGUAGAAUAUCCGUUUGUCAGUCCGUAGCUAAAACAUAGCUCCUUAGUGUACAGGUAUUGAUCAGCCUCUCUUUCCAACAAGAAUAUCUACACACUUGGAAUCUGCCAUCUAUUUGCUGCAUGGACUCUUACUGAUACCUCGGAUUACAAGUUCAGAAGAAGCACGUAUCUGAGUCAGGGUAUAUAGAAAUCUGAAGUGCAGGACCUUAUUCCUGAAGUCAUCACUGUUGUUAGCUUGAAACAGUCUGGAGUUAGCUGUGAAGACGCACUAAAAAGUGUAAACGACCGCCCACAGUAGUCAUGGAUCUGGAGGUGAGUGUACACUGAAAUGUGGAGGAGGACGGGAGGGUUGGUAGGAAGUAGGAAGGGUUUACAGAGGAGGUAGAGAUGAAGAUUGUCCUUGAAGAAGGGUGUCUCUCACACAGCCAGAAUGGAAGAGGAAAAAAAAAAAAA
Molecule: long non-coding RNA, 500 nt
Filed under: Bubalus bubalis (water buffalo)
Lineage: Eukaryota; Metazoa; Chordata; Mammalia; Artiodactyla; Bovidae
Description: BOD174N
Source: RNAcentral